Molecule: small nuclear RNA, 132 nt
Organism: Ursus americanus (American black bear)
Lineage: Eukaryota; Metazoa; Chordata; Mammalia; Carnivora; Ursidae
Gene: U4
Rfam family: U4 spliceosomal RNA
About the family: U4 small nuclear RNA (U4 snRNA) is a component of the major U2-dependent spliceosome. The structure of U4 snRNA from yeast and human has been reported.
Source: Ensembl
AGCUUUGCGCAGAGGCAGUAUCGUAGCCAAUGAGGUUUAUCCGAGGCGCGAUUGUGGCUCAUCGGGAUAGUGUCCAGAAAGUUCUAGACGCUCAGUAGAUGUCCGUUGAAUGAAUGAAUCAAUGAAUGCAAU